Molecule: long non-coding RNA, 1061 nt
Organism: Monopterus albus (swamp eel)
Lineage: Eukaryota; Metazoa; Chordata; Actinopteri; Synbranchiformes; Synbranchidae
Exons: 4
Source: RefSeq, a predicted model, not a curated record
AAAACAAACCCCUGGGGCUGGAUAACAUGUGGGAGGAACCUUUGACAGACUGUUUCCUGUUCCUGUGACCCCGAUGAAGGCCACAAGCCCAGAUGCAUUGACCGACAGCCUCCAUCAUGGACAAAGAGGUUUCAGCAACAACAACCAUUCACCCAAAGAGGAAAUGCUCUCAGUCAAGAGGAAUAAUGGGACAAAACACGAAGGAGAUAUGGGGUGCGCAGGGCUGACGGCACGGCUUCACUGCGUCUUUCACGUCCAUGUGCAACAGUUGUAAAAUCCAUGGUGGAGGAUAAAAUACCUGUACUGUGUGUAGCUUUAGAGCCUUGUGUUUAAUCACACAUCCUUCAAAACCACGGUGCUCUACAAUGGUCCAGUCAAGGUCAAGUCACUUCAGCAAUGUUUUAAUCAAAGGAAAAAUGCACUCAAUUUAAGGAACAAUGUUUUUUUUUUUUUUUUUUUUUUAAGUGUUGUGCAGUUUAUGAUAGUGGGCUGUAAUGUAGCGUCAUUCUGCGUCUGUCUGCUGGGACCUUCUGUCCAAUGAUGCUGUAAUUGAAAACACACAAAGGGAAGACAUUUUGAAAGAGCAAUAAAUGAGUUUUUUCUUGACCAUAAUACAAAAUGACCAUGAUAUGUUUCUGGGACUUGAUCGGUUGUUGGUCUGGGAAAAAGAAAUGGAAAAGCUCAAUUGAUUACGUGCCCAGGUGGUGAAAACAGUGUGCUUGUUCUUGGACCAACAGUUGAUAAAGUGGUAGUAUUAUGAUUGUUGUUGUCUAUUAAAUUUUCAUGUGGCAGACGGAGCUCAUCACACUGCAGUGCAGGAAAACAGGCAAAUGAAUGAAGGUCCUUGUCACUGUGAACACUCCUGGGCAGCACAAUAAAAAGCUGCAAGUAAAACAAAAGCAAAACAGGAUAAAGUGACAUAAAAAGUGUUGCAAAUGCAGACAAGAGAAAUGUCUGAGGAAAACUGAUGAACAUAUUGACCACACUUCAGAAGUUUGAGUGUCCUUUAAAGCUGAUCUAACCAGUAGGUUUUAUAUUAAGUAGAUUAAACAGCUGUGUGA